UUUUAAAAUGAAAACUUUCUAAAAAUAGUAGGUUAUUAUUAAAAAAAUGCAACCUAUUAAUGAAAAAUUCUGAAGGAAUACUCGUCUAUCAACAAAAAUUCUUGUUAUCCUUAUUCCUAAGUCACAAUCUCAAAUCUACAAUAGUUCUCUGUAGAAAUAAAAACGUCCCAAAAAUAGCAUCUUUCAUAAAAAUUAUUGAAAAAAUGCAACUUAUUGAUGAAAAAUUCUGAAAGAAUACUCAUCUAUCAACAAAAUUUGUUGUUAUCCUUAUUCAUAAGUCACAAUCCCAAACCUACCAAAGUUCUCUAUAAAAUAAAAAGUUUCUAAAAAUAGGAGGUUUUUCAUAAAUUAUUUAAAAAAUGCAACCUAUCGAAGAAAAAUUAUGAAAAAAUACUCAUCAAUUAACAAAAUAUCUUAUUAUACUAAUUUCUAAGUCACANNNNNNNNNNNNNNNNNNNNNNNNNNNNNNNNNNNNNNNNNNNNNNNNNNNNNNNNNNNNNNNNNNNNNNNNNNNNNNNNNNNNNNNNNNNNNNNNNNNNGAUCCUCUACUCAAAAGUUAGUUUACGUACUUCCAGUACAGAAAAAAAGAAUUAUACACAAAAAUAAUUAAAUUAAAUUUUUUUAUUUUUGUAAACUUUAAGUCAAUUUAGUUAAAAUAUUUAAAUUUUCCUUAAACAUUUGAACUACAGAUUGGUUAUAUAAAUUUUCCUUAACCGAAUCAUUUUCCUUCUUUUUUUGAAAAACAAAAUGAUUCAUUCAAUAGAAAUCAGUUCACCACAAUGAUGAAGUAGAGUAGAGAGGGGCCUUUGCCAAAUAGUCCGCAACCGAUUUUUGAUACCUAAGGAUAAAUGAGAAAAAAACAAAGUCGAAAAAAAAUGAUAGACAAUUAUUAACAUCCAUGAGAACUCCAAAGAGUUCUCUAACCGAAUUUAACAUAUGCAUUUCUGGUGCUAUUCAUUUUCUAUAGCUUAUGUUUAGAGAAGCUUGAGAAACCAGUUCUACAUUUUGUCAGUCUCUUAAUAAUACAACUAUCUUUUAAUUAUUAAAAAUUUAGUUAUAUAUCUAAAUUAUACUCCCUCUGUUUUUAUUUGUAAGUAGUUUUAGUUAAAAGUGUGAAUAUUAAGAAAACUUUUACUUUUGAAUAAAUAGCAUUUAAUACAUAAAUUCAACCAAUAAUAAAAAAAAGUAUGAAUUAUUUGAUUGGUCACACAACAUGUAAUAAAUGUAAAAGGUGCUUUGGAUUAUGUAAACAUCAUUGUGAAACAAACAUUUUUUGAUAAAACUACUUACAUAUCAAAACAGAGAGAGUAUUAAAUUAUUACUCUCUCCGUUUCGAUUUAAUUGUCGUUGNNNNNNNNNNNNNNNNNNNNNNNNNNNNNNNNNNNNNNNNNNNNNNNNNNNNNNUCAAAAUAAGUGUCGUUUUAGAGUUUCAAUGCAAAAUUUAUUAAUAAGAUUCUCCAUUUUAUUUUUUUAUUGGUUGAAAUAUGGUUAGGUGUAUAGGUAAUUGUGUUUUUGUUUUAGAAAUAUACAAAAUCAUAUGUUUUUUUAAUUUGUGUGCAUAAACCUAAAACGACAAUUAAAGUGAAACGGAAGGAGUAUUAUAUUAUAUCUGAUAGACUAUGUUUGAGAGAUUCAUCAUUGAAAAUGCUUUUGAUACUUUAUAUAUAGAAGUUUUAGAUACAUAUUAUUAAUAUAAGUACAUAAUCCACAAUUUCUUUAUGUUGAAUGCAUCUUUCCCACACUAAAAGACUAAUAUUGCGCUAAUUAGUCCUUGCGUAUGGUCGAAUCUUGUUGUUAAAAAAAAAAGUCCUUACGUAUGGUCUACUUCUGACUGGUUUAAGAUAACGUAGGAUGAUUGGAUGAAAAUUUAGGACCACUAGAUUCAUCACAGCUAGUCGUUUAAGAUUAACCUGAAAACUAUACGUGAAAACUGCAGUACGUAGGGUGUAACCCGUGACCCAUGGAAUGGAACGAGCAGAAACACUAUGUUCCUUAAUAUUCCUUAAAUUUUUUUACCAUUUACGAGGAAUAAAUUUUUUUUUUCGUUCAUUUGUUUGUAGAUAAUUAUAGAACAAAUCAAUCUCUCGUUAAUUUUGAUAAGGAACCAUCAUUCCUAAAAUUUUAUUCAUACUCGUUCUUUUUCUAUCCUUUCCUAUUGUUCCUAUGAUGAUUACCAGUCACACCCGUAGUGUAUUCAUAAUGCAGGACCACUCUAAGGUAAAUAUGUGUCUCAGAUUUUGCUCUAAAUCAGACGUCAGAACUUUUAUAGUGUUUCUUUUUGUUUUUUGUCAUAAGACUUACGAAAUUUUUUUUAACUUGCACUAUAUUUCUUCAAAUGUAAUAGAUCUCUGCAUUCAAUUACAAAAGGAAUAAAAAGUCUUAGUUAGUAGAAGAACUAAAAGAUGAAUAAAAAUGUUACUAGUUUUGUUUAGAUACAGAAUUGCCCCAGAAUCUUGAAAACUGCCCGCACUUACAUCUUUGCACCGACAUAACGUUUACUUUCCAGUAAUGAACUGGAUACAAAUUCCCCUCAUGGUUACUAAUUUGGGCAUUAAUUAAUGUGGUCAUAUUCUUAUCAAGCUAAGUAGAAAAGAGCGAUUGGAACACUGAAAACUAAGUCGAUUAUAGGGUAUAGUAGUUGGAAGAUUAACAUAGUCUCCACUCUUCACAUUAAGAUCAUGAAAAACCCAUCGAGUAUCAAAGGAUAUAUAUAUAUAUAUAUAUAUAUGUAUAUCAGGUUUAACUGGUGCAAGAUGGUGCAAUAAAAUGAAAUAUCCAUUAUUGAAGGCCUUUGUCAUACACAAUCCAGACUUCAGGUAUUUCAAAAAACACACCAGACACAAACUAUUUAGUAUUGAUCAGAAUUUUUGUGCAUCAACCAAAGGGUCCAGCGCUACAUUUGUAUAUAGCUCCCUGGAAAUUCCGGAAAGUACAUUGCUCCUUAGCUAACUUGCAAAAAGACUUCUUAAAAACUGAAUAUAUCAAUCAAGUUGCUAAACUGAGUCCGAUAGCCAGACCAGAACCAAACCAACUCUUUGCAUGAAAUAUCUUUUUUUUUUGGAACGCUCAUGAAAUAUCUUCAAGUGUCUAAAAUUGACAAUAAACCAAAUGUUAUGGACCACUAAAAGAUAUUUCUGAUUAUUAAAAAAUCUAUCUUUAUUUUCAAAGUAAAACAACGACUUUAAUGGUGGACUUGAAGGCACGAUAUUAUUCGCAGUUGAUGUAAGGAAAUUAAUUCGAAAUACAUAAGGCUUAUUUAUUUUCCAUGUAGGAACAAACUAAGAAAUAACAUUUUUAGUUCAACUAUAAAUAAAAACAUAGAACGUUUCAGUCGACUGUCUAAUCUGCAACCACAAUUUUGACCAAAUAAUAUAAAGCUUAAGCUUUGUAUAUGAUCUAAUUUGCAUUUUGAGAACCAACGAACUUGGACUAGUAACACUUGAGGGAUAAUUCCAAUACGAUAAACCGCAGUUCGAUCUCCGUUGGCCACCAAAUAAUUUAACAUUGUACUCAUAUGUAACAUUUCAGAGUUCGAUGUACUAAAUAUAUAUUUUUAAAAUUAGCUUAUUAGAGAAAAUAAUAUAAAAUAGUUUAUUUGUAACAAAAGCACACUUUGAUUGGCCAUUUAAUUUUCAAAUUUAAGUUUGAAUUGAAGUUUCCUUGAUUAUAGUUUUCUUUUCUUGGUCAGCAUCAUCCGUUACUCUCAGAAGAAAUUUGUAUCCUGCACUUAUUUCCCAUUACAUUUCCCAACCUUCUAAAUACAAGGUCAUAACCAAAAUAUUAAAAUCCUAAAGCAAAUCAAAAGUAUUAUUGGGAAGCAAGACCUAUAACUAAUAGGAAGAGAUGACGACGUGGCCGGCUAAAUCUUCUCUGCCACAGACGGUAAGUCCAGUCUACUUUGUGCAGAGCCCACCGAACACAGACGUAGACAAGAUAUCAACCGGAUCGGGUCUUAGCCCGUUCGGAUCACCCGUUAACCGACAGGGCCAGGUCAGUCACUACAACCAUGAGUCUGUGGCCGUGUCACCUUCGACUCUACGGUCCUCAGGACCAUUGAGAAACGGAUACAGUAGUCUCCAAGUGCAUGAUCAUGACCAAACAAUCGACGAGGAUGAUGACGAUUACGAUGAAGUAGACGGUUCGGAUGAGAAAAGAGGAAGGAGAACGAGGUUUUACACUUGCUUGUUGUUUACGUUUGUGCUGGCCUUCACUAUCUUCUGUCUCAUUUUGUGGGGAGUUUCCAAAUCUUUCUCACCUAUUGUCACUUUGAAGGUAAUUCAUAGAGCUUUGACUGUUCCGGAAAUAAAUUUUGCUCUUGUGAAAAUUAUUACAUUCUCUAGAGAUAAAAUAUUUCUCUGUUUUCGUAAUUAUAUUUUGUGAAGUGUGAAAGCGAAAUUAGUUUUACGUUUUGAUUGUUGUUUUUCUUAACAUGUAGUAUAACUUCCAAAAUGAAUUAAAAACAUAAAAAUAAACAUAAUCAGAUAUUCAAAUGACAAUGAUGCCACAAUAAGUGUAUUUUGUGGAGUUUAAAAAUUUAAUAUGAAGAAUUAUAUAAAUAAAUAUACGGAAAAAUGAAUAUGUAAUACAUAUAUUUUUAAGUAUUAUCAAAGUAUUAUAAUGUUAAAAAGUAUUAUAAGUGUUACAAAAAAAAGUUAAAAAGUAUUAUAAAAAGAAUAAGUAUUAUUCGUUCACAGAAUGUUUGCAUAUAUGUAUUACUUUAACAAAACAUAUUGUGUGAAAUUAAAUUUCUAUCACAAAACUGUAAUUAAAAAGGUGUUCAUGUAAUGUUAUCUGUACAUUCAGGGGAUGGUAAUCGAGAGCUUGAACGUGCAAUCCGGGAACGACGCAUCGGGAGUGCUCACAGAUAUGCUCACUCUAAAUUCAACGGUCACGAUGUUAUACAAAAACCCUGCGACUUUCUUCACAGUCCAUGUCACCUCCUCUCCCCUCCUCUCCCCUCCAGCUCAGCUAUUACCAACUCAUCCUCGCCUCCGGCCAGGUAAACAAUUUCACAUCUUAUUGCUUGAACCGGCCGGUUAUAUGAUUUAUGAACUACUUUAGUUUUUUUGGUUGUGAGAAAAAAUAGAUGGAAAAGUUCUCUCAACGAAGGAAGACCGAGAGAAUCAUUGAGACCAAAGUAAUAGGCAUUCAAAUUCCUUUGUACGGAGGCGUACCAGCUCUAUACGCGCAACGAGCUAAACCAGACCGAGUUGUUUUGCCUUUGAAUUUAACUUUUACGUUGCGAUCACGGGCCUAUGUGCUCGGCCGAUUAGUCAAAACGAAGUUCUACACGAGCAUGAGAUGCAGCAUCACUUUCCAUGGCGAUAAACUUGGCAAGAAAAUUGAUUUCUUGAAGUCUUGCUCUGAUCAUUGAUAGAAAAUCAGCAGCGAAAUCAGUUCUUUAUGUUUAUUAGGGAAGAUUAAAUUAUUUUGAUGAGAUAUAUACGUGUGAAGGUCUGGACCAAUAUAAAUAGGGUUGUAAUUAAUUUUUUUAUACUACUAUAUUUGAUCGAUAAUCAUUAUUUCCUUUUUUUGUGAGAAAUCUUUGAAUAAUCAUAAUUACAAAAUUCAAUUAUUUCCGUUAAUUUUUAUCCAUAAAAUAUAAAAUAUAAUGAUUUUGUUAUCUUUUUGUGUAAAUAAAAGAGUUGAAACGUUGGUGGGGAUUCAAUACGCUGCCGUUUUCUUAAUCUCCAUGCCUAGUGGUCAUUAGGUUCCUACUUGAACAUCCUGUGACGGAAUACUUCAGGGAUUGAAGAAGUUUGCAUGUAAACCCUUAUCAGCCAAGCGCAGAGCCGAUGCAACCACAAACAAAACGCUGAAAGACGCUCCUAUGCUUCCCACCGAUACGUUGAACCACCACAUCAGACUUUCCCUUUGGGGCUGUUUAAUAGAGAUCCACAUGAAACACGGGUAUGUAAAUGUAACCAGCAAGCCUAUAGCUCCAAUAAGAACCGCGAGAUAAGGCAAGAACGUGAAUCCAACGGCUACAAAGAAACAAACCAAACACAAGAACACACGAAACAUCAUCCGGACAAAGACGGAGCAAGGCUUGUGUCUCUUGGUCGUGUACACCAUCUCUGCGUUGUCACAAGCUGGCAUUAAGUUUAUCGGAUAUGAACAUAAGCAGUUGAUGAUGAACGUGAUGUGUAUGAAACAAGCGGCUCGUUUUGAGUAGUCUUGUUCGUAAAGUUCCAAGUAGUUGCCUAUUGGACCUCCUGUGGCCGGUAUCUAUCAUAUAUAAGAAUUAAUAUUAAAGUUCAAACACAUAAAAGCAAUAAUGUGUUGGAUUUUGACAUACCUUGUCACCGUAUGCCCAAUAUACAACAAUGGCUACUAGAAACAUACAAACUGCAAUGAACACAUGAGAGAUCACCACAGCUCUCCACAUUGUCUUUCUCGAAGGAUUCUUUGAAUCGGAAGGAAGAGUACCCUACAAAAAUAUCACAAGAAACCUUGUCAAUACUAUCCUAAUUAAAGUUGUAUAUAAAUAAGUUUUAAAAUGCUAUUUUUCUUAGUAUUAUCUUAAGACCUGUAUCUCGAGGAUGAGGUUGUUCCCGCGAAAUGAUAUAGCUAUCAAUCCAAUGGCGUUAAAAAUGGUAUCGAAACUUGUAUCCUUUGUAGCGUAAGAGAUAUUGUUUUGAUUCCUAUGCGGAAUACUAGCUAAAGGUAAACUCCAGAUUGCGGUGCAGUAUGCUAUGGCCAUAACACCACCGAUCAACGAGAGUCCAAAAAGAGAAUUUAGAUUUGGAAACUGACACAUGACCACUGCGAGGCAGCUGAAGAUCACGAAGCAUUGCAAGGUAGUAAGUGGCACUUUGCCAUCUUCAGACAUAAUGUGUACAAGUUGUUUUAUUGUUUUUCCACCGGUUAUAACCAGAAUCGAACAAGCUCCUCCUGAGAGAUACAUCACAGGGAAUAUUCCAAGAAGUUUCCCCAGCUUCACACCUAUUAUAUUGUUAUCGUGGCAUAACGUUAAAAUUGUUGUAUGACAAAAAAACGACAAAGUUCUAAAGAAUUUAGUAUUUACCGAAUGAAGCAAUUGCGAGUCUCAAGUAUCUGCUGAAACGUAUUCCGUGUACGGCUUCGUGGAGAUGAACAAGAAGCCAUAUCGUGUAAAGCUUCCAUGCAAAUCCAACCGUUAAAAUUAUCACUCCCCAUACCCUGGAAAAAAAAACUUUCUGAUUAUGGUAAGAAUUGAAAGAGAAGUUAAUUAAAAGAGAAAAGUUUUAUUUGAAAUGGGAUUUUACCAUCCUAGUGCUGCGAAAGCUGCAGGAAGAAGAAGAACUUGUAAACCAAGUCCCGAGCAGAAAAGAUGAAACGUUGCCGUAUAAACAUUCCCUUUUCUUGAUUCUGUGAUCGGCAGCCACUCUUCUAACGGAAUCCGCCCACCAUCUCCGUCGGAGGUUGGCUGUGGAUCCUUGGAGAGUGUUUGUGACAUAAAUGAAGGAGAACCACCACGUUCUUGUGAUUCUAAAUCAAACAAUGUGGCCAAUGCUUUUUUUGACAUUGUAUAAAAUAUUAAAAACCCUUUUUGUUUCUCUCUCUCUCUCUCUCGAGGAUUCAACGUACAGCCACAAAUUGAAUGAGCUAUGCAUUCUUCCUCUCCAUUCACUGGAUUAUAUAGUUAAAUUAUCGGGAACGUGCGUAAUUGGGAAGCUGCGUUAUUAAAUUUACUUGGGAGUAUUUUAUAGAGGUCAUUUAAAAUUUCGUCUCUUAAGUACAUUUUCAUUAUUGUAUAUAUAUUUUCCUUAGGUCGGACUCUAUAUAAUCAAAUCAAAUAAAAUCAAUAAUACUUAAAGAAUAUUGGUGCACAUGUUAUCUAUAAUUGAUAACACAUUAUCAUUAUUAAUUCAUCAUAAUUAUAUACAAUAUGUUGAGUGUGGGCGAGUUGAAACAAGAAAUCAAUUAUAAACACUGGGAGUGAUAAGAUAAUGACAUAAGAAUAAUGACGUAAUCAGUUAUGUCACUUUCAAAUACUGAAAAGUGAGACCCACGCGACGUGUAUAAAUCGAAGUCUUCUGAUUUUGUUGGGUGGUGGCUUUAUAACUCAAGUGGGUCUGGUCGGGUGCAAAAGUUUCUAAUCUGGUUUGCGUUUAAAUUGCUGACCUUCUAGUCAAACAAGCGUCAAUAUUGAGCCGAACUUCCUUCGUCUCUUUGGUUACACGAUUUAAAUGUUUAAGACUUAUUCUUGGGUUUACCAACCAAUUGGAUUAUGUUAUUUCAAAUUUGAUAUCUUUUAUAAAAGAAAACAAAAUAUUGUCAAGUUAUAUUAUAUUUUUAAAGUAAAAAGAUAAAAAAUAAAAAAUAAAAAUAGUAGUAAUUACAAAAAAAAAAAAUUUAACGUCGUCAGGAAAAAACUAAACCUUAAAUCCUAAUCCCUAAACCCUAAACCCUAAAUCCGAAACCCUAAACCCUUGGGUAAACUCUAAACCCUUGGAUAAAUCAUAAACUCUAAAUCAAAAACACUAAAACACUCAAGGGUUUAGGAUUUUAGUGUUUAGCGUUUUUGAUUUAGAGUUUAUGAUUUAUCCAAUGGUUUAGGAUUUACCCAAGGGUUUAGGGUUUACCCAAGGGUUUAGGGUUUCAGAUUUAGGGUUUAAGGAUUAUGAUUUAGGGUUUAGUGUUUUGCUGACGACGUUAACAAUAUUUUUUAAAAAAAAAUCUUUUUUUUGUAACUACUAUUUUUUUUAUCUUUUUAUUUUAAAAACAUAAUAUAAUUUGACAAUAUUUUGUUUCCUUUUUUAAAAGAUAUCAAAUUUGAAAUAAUAAAAUUUUAUUGAUUGGUGAACCUAGAGGCUAGGGUGAACCCAAGAAUAACUCGUCAUUUUCUUAGUUUAAUAGUAUUGAUAACUUACCAUGAAUAAAUAAUAUUUUUUGAAGGUAAUCCCACGGAUAAUGGAAGAUGAUGUCACGUCUUUUAAUUAAUGACUUUUUUAAAUGAAAGAUAAGUGAUUAAACAUUGCUUCUUGUUGCCAUCCCUUGUGGCAACACACUGGAAUUUUUUUUUUUCAAACUAGAAGUUAAAAGAGAACUGUUAUAUAAUAACAACUAGAUAUUGAUCCGCGUGGAUGUUGGUUUGUACAUUUUAUACAUCAAUAUUUAUUUUUUAUAAUUAGUGUUAUAUAUUUUAGAUGUAUCAUAAUAUAACUAAUGAUAUUCAAAAGACCUGGACCGAAUCAGGUAAUAUGGUUAUUUUGUUACAAAUAUCCGAAUCCGCUUUAGAUACAUUGGUUAUUUAGAUAUUUUUAGGUUCAUAUACAUCAGAACUGAAUUCAUCCAGAUCCAGAAUGACUCAACUCAAAACCCAUACAUAAAUUUAUAAUAUUUAAGCGGGACCUUGUUUCAAAACAAAAAAAAAAACGAUACCCGAAAGGAACAACAUGUACAUAAAUGGAUAGAUAAUGUUCAUUUACAACUGAUUUUAUAAACUAAUAAAAAAAAUUUAUUUUUAUGUGUUUGGCUAAAAUAGGUGAAAUAAAAAUAGUUUUUUGUUAAGUAAAAUAAUUAUAUGGAGUGAAAAUUAAGUGGCAAUAAAUGUAGCACAUUUUUAUUAUUUUUAUUUAAGUUAUUAUUUUAUUUACAAAAACAUAUCUUUGAAUUAUGUUUUUGGCUACGUAAUUUUCCACCGAUUGAAACUCAAAUAAAAAUGUUUAAAUAAAACAAACUAAACCAAACAUUUAAUCAUAUGAAAAACCUAGUUAUUUAAAAAAUUUGAUUUUAUAAUUGGCACAAAGUUAAUAUUGAUUAACUAAUAAAUAAAAAUAUGCACUACUAUUAUGGUAAUAUAAUUAAUGAUGUAAAUUAUUGUUAAAGUAAUAUAAUUAAUAAAAUUGUUAAACUAAGUGAAAUAUGAAAAUACAAUUAAUAGAUACUGCUAUUCAUAUAUCCAAACAAAUUUUAUUAAAACUACUAUUCAAGUUUCCAAACAAUCUCAUUGUGUACUUUAACUUUAAUAAUAUAGAUUACAAAAAUAUAUCUUUGAAUUAUGUUUUUGGCUACGUAAUUUUCCACCGAUUGAAACUCAAAUAAAAAUGUUUAAAUAAAACAAACUAAACCAAACAUUUAAUCAUAUUAAAAACCUAGUUAUUUAACAUUUUUGAUUUUAUAAUUGGCACAAAAUUAAUAUUGAUUAACUAAUAAAUAAAAAUAUGCACUACUAUUAUGGUAAUAUAAUUAAUGAUGUAAAUUAUUUUUAAAGUAAUAUAAUUAAUAAAAUUGUUAAACUAAGUGAAAUAUGGAAAUACAAUUAAUAGAUACUGCUAUUCAUAUAUCCAAACAAAUUUUAUUAAAAUUAUUAUUCAAGUUUCCAAACAAUCUCAUUGUAUACUUGAACUUUAAUAAUAUAGAUUCGAUGUUUCUUAUUUUUGAAAAUGGUUUGGUUAGGUGUAAAGUCUGGACUAAAAUAUAAGUUAAUCCCCCUCGAGAAUUCACUUAAUAUGAUUUGAUUAGUCUAGUUAAUUAUGACUCAAUAUAUGCAUAUUAUAUGUUUUAUCUUUAACAAGUCACAAUGACGUGCUUCCCACAUAAUCAAAUCUAGUUAUAUAUACAGUACACUAAAAAUACAUAUAUACCUAACCAUAUAUAUGUUUUAUACUUGUACUGACAGGUUUCUAAUAUCACCUUGGUUACUUUUUUUCAUUUCGGAUUGGGAUGUAUUAAAUAGUAAGUUACAAUUUAAAAUAAACAACAUCGUAUUGCAGAAUCAGCAAGCAUAAGAAAUCAGAGAUCGUCAAAUUCAUUUAAAAUAUAUAUAUUUGUUGGAUAUCUUUCUGACAUUUUCUUAUGACUUCACCCCAAUAAAUGUUUAUAAAUCAUGUUGCAAAGUCAGCAAGCAUCAGCAUAAUGUUUAUAAAUCAGUCUUCUAUAUACUUUAAUCAGUAAACAAGAUUAUGUAUAUUGUGGCCUUGUGGGAUAUAUCUCAAAAUAAUAUCUUUUGAAUACUUGAACAAAAAACGUAUAGUUAAAGUCAAAUCGUAGGAAGUUCCAACUUCUGAAGUCACUGCUAUACAUUCAAGCAUCUCAAAUUAUUCAAUACUAAAUAAAUAUAAAAUCGGAUAUAUUUUGCCGAGUUCGUCUGUUUAAACUAACUUUGAGCAUGUUGGAAAAAAAUGAAACUUAAGUUGAGCAUACUUCAGCAUUUUUCUGAAGCAAAGAACGUGUAAGGAGAUAAAUCGGUCAACUUCAUCUUACGUAAGCCUUCGUAUCUUUAACCAAAAAAAAAAAAAAAGCCUUCAUAUCUAACAUUUUUAAACAUACAUAAACAAAGCAACAACAUAUUUAAAAUAUUUUUUUUUGUAAACUAACAUAUUUAAAAUAUUAUGAUGCAGAUGUUAUUAAUAUUUUUUUUGUCAACAUAUUUGCAGAUUUAGACAAGAAAAUGAAUACGUGAACAGUUUUUAAAUAUUUAUCUCACUCGCUGUGAAGCCAGAAGAAUAAAUCAAGCUAUAUAUAUGGAGUUUUCGUUUCGUUUUCAUGAUAUUGCAUUUUACAUAUAUUAUUUUAAUAGAAAAUCUUAGAAGAGGAUUCUUUUUGUUGUUUUUGAUGCAUUUAUAUACUAACAGACAUCGCUGUAAACGAUAACUAUUGUUAUAAAAAGAUUCAGUAGUUGAAUAUUCACGAAGGUUGUGUGUCGCACUAGUUUUGCUAAUUUUGAAGGACAACUGAGUAUAUGAUUGUUUAAUAAAGUCGAGAAGAUUAAUUGAAAAACUGUCUCGGAUUAGGGUUCGUGCUUGUUGUAAGUAGUUCCGCGUGCUUACCUAUAAUGCAUCUGAAUCUUCAGAUUAUUAAUAUAGUUUUUUAAGAUUCAAUCUUAAUUAUAUAAUAAUGCUAAAGCUAGCUGGUUAUCUUGGCUAAGAUAUAUAUAUAUAUAUAUAUAUAACACUAAGAUUCUUUAGCGGAAUAAGAUCUAAAUCUAAUCGAUAUAUUGUAGAAGGAGAUCGUCGUGAGUUUGAGAUCAGGUCAAACAACGAAACUUGGCAAGAAUCAUACCCAAAAAAAAAUCUUUUGUAAAAUUAAUUAGUUCCAUAAGCUAGGUUUUAUUUUAUCAAAACGGCUCAAAGUGUUUCUGAAAGAACUCUAUGUUACUAUUGGUUGGAUAAACGCCUAUACUUUUGAGAGCUUCUUUUACAGCUUGAUUAUCCAGUUUUUUACUCCAUAUAAGUUUUGUGAUGAAUACAAAAAAGAUCCCAGCAUAUAACGAUUUUCAGCUUCUUAAAGUAUUCUUUUGUUAAUUAAGAUUUUAUUUAUUUAUUUUGCGUUGUACUAUAUUUUUCUUGUAAUUUUUCCUGUUGUAUUGUAGUAAUUGGUUUUCAAAUUAAUACACUGAAAACCGGAAUUGAAGUAUUGAACACAUUCAUUAUUAAGCAUAUAUAUAUGAGAAUACACAAAACACACCAAUAUCCUAGCGACAUACAUUAUCCAGAUCAUCAAAUCACAACAUUAACAACAUUAUCCUAUAUAUAUAUAUAUACUAGAAGCCAACAUCCAACAUGUAACUAUAAUUAUAUUCUACUAAUUAAAGCCCUAACCUAAGAUCUAAUGAACACCCUGCUGUGUCCGAAGUAGACGAAAUAUCAUGUAUUGUUGCAGGAACAUUCAGAUCAACCGCACCACCGACCAUCGUCUCCUCUUCUUUCUCCCAGUGACAUCUCAUGUGACCUCCUAAAGCCUGGCCACUAGAGAACACUCUAAAACAUACAUUACACUUAUGAUUCCCCAUAAACGUAACGAUCUUACCCUGAUGAUCUUGAUCACUAGGAGUAGUAGUAGUAACCGUCAUAGGAUCAUCAGCCACGUUCGUGAUAGCGAAGCAUCCUUUAACGUUCUUGUGACUAGCUCUAUGUCCUCCUAAAGCCUGAUGUGAUCCAAACACUUUCUUGCAACCUCCACACUCGAACCGCUCACCACAGCUUGAUGAUGACGGCAUGGAAUUAGCCAGCAUUAAGAGAUAAGAAGCGACUUCAUGAUCUUCCUCGGUCAUAAGGGAGACCCAAUUUGGUGAUCUCUGGUUCUGGUUUGAAAAUGAAGCCGGGGUGGGGCCACGGUGGUUAGGAGGAGGGUUGAUGCCACGCCAUUGACGCUCAGGGUGACAUCUCAUGUGACCAAAGAGAGCCUUCCAAGACCAAAACGUUUUGCCACAUUCGGUACAUGGACGUGUGAUUUUGGGGGCAUUUGGGUCUGGCUUUCUAGGGUAUUUUGGUUUUGGUUUUGGUGAAGAAGUAGAGGGUAAUGCAACCGUUUUGGUGCGUUUCUUUCUAGGGCUCUGGUCGUAACUUGGAGAUAAAGCAAGUUGGAGAUUUGGAGUACGGUAGAAAGGGAUGAUUGCGUUGGAUGUAGGGUUAAGUGGAGUGUGAAAAUUGGGAUCUGAAUCGGAAUUGUUGGUGGUCAUUGUGAUCACGUAGAGAAAUUAAGUGAUGAAAGAAAAGAGAAAAAAGGAUGAAAGUUGGAGAAAGGGUGGCUUAAGUAGACGAGGAGGAAGAAGAAGAAGAAGAAGGAGACGGUUACGUGGGGAGGAAGUUAUGGAGGGACAGGGAGACAGUUAACUUCAGUUGAGGAACAGAGCGGUUUACUUUGUAAGGAAAGGCUUAUCACCUUUGCAGUUUGAAACCACGUUGUCGAGUGUUUUGUUUGCUGGGCCAACUUUAUGGGCCUUCUAAUCCGAAUUCUCCAUCAGUAUAAUGACGAAUUAAAACUUGGUUUGAUUUGCUGGUUUAGUUUGUUUUUUUUUGUCAUCGGUUUAGUUUGGUUUAUAUUUACAUUCUUAGCAAUAAUUGAACCGGAACUCAGUUCUCUCCGGUUGGGUUUGGCUUUUCUCUAGGUUAGUGAUUACUGUGAUUAGUUAGUCUUAACUACUUUGAAAAACAUUAUUUUCCUAAAUAUUAAUCUAGGAUUACUACAUAGUUUGCAUGGUUGAACACAAAAAAGUUAAACAUAUCUUCUCCUUUCCCAAAAAAAUAGAUAUGGUUCAAGUAACUAAAUAAGAAGCAGCAGAUGUCACACGUCCACAUUCAACACACACUUUUCUUAACCAUUAAUCCCAUUGACUUGAACCGGCAACGUGGACUCAGUGUGUUGACCAUAAAUAAAUGGUCAUCAACUUAUACAAUCCGAAUAUUCAAGACUUGUCAAAAAAAAAAGAAGAAUGUUCUCAUAUACCAAGUAGUAUAAAAGACUAAAAGAGGAAGUGGUUUAUCAAUAAUCCAAAGAGGAAGAAGGUGAGAGGAAACCGCUAGGGUCAAGGAAAUGUAGCUGUGAGCACGCAAAGCAGUCUAAAGAACUUUCUUCCCACAAUCGGCGCCGUAAGAUAAACAAAACACACUCUCAUCCAACGAAUGUAAUUGUCCGACCAGUCUCUCACCAAACAUAAACCCAAAAAUCUAUUUUUUAUUCGUGAGAUUCGAAUAAAAUUUGUUAUACUAUAUUGUAUUAAACCGAGAGCAGCUUUCCUUUGGUGGAAAUAACAUUAAAUAUUGUAGCUUUCCUCUUCUUGUUCCACUUUCUUUUGUCUCUCAGAUUCAUUCUCAGUCAGUUAGACUUCUGUGUCACCCUUCUCUGAUUACUUACUGGUAAGUUAUAACUAGAUCCUCUUUUUGCUUUAUUUCAUUCCUCUGUUUCUGAUUCCUUUGUAAGUAAACUCAGAUUUGACUUUUUAGUAGCUCCUUUUUGACUCUCUGUUCUUUCUAAUGGUUGAUCUGAUCUGGGGGGGGGUUUGUGUCUUUCUUCCUUGUGAGUGUUAAAGUUCGUUACUUUACUCUCUAUAAGCUUCUUUGAUUUGGUCUGAUGAGUUUUUAUCUGAACUGUUAGUUGGAUAAAGUAACAUAAAGUGAAAGUUGAUGUACUUUUAAAUGCUUAAUCUGAUGUUGGUUAUGUGAUUUUCUUAUCGCUUAAAGUUUGUUACUUUCUUGUUUUUAGCUUCUUGGGUUUGGUCUGUUACUAGAGGGUUUUGACUUGUUUAUAAUAUCUAUUUGAACAGUUAAGUUGGAUGAAGAAGAGAGAUUGAAAGUUAGUAUCUUUUCCACUGUUUCAUGGGCAAUUCAUGCCGUGGAUCUUUCAAGGACAAACUCUUCCAGACCAAUAACAGUACUAAGCUUGAAGACAACUCCAAAACCUCUACAAACGUCACUUCAAACCGCUCUAGUUCCACCAACACUGAAGAGUUCUCCUCUCCCAAGAAAGACAGCAAAAACUCACCUCUUGUUAUCCCUUCAAAAGAACCAAUCAUGAGACGCAACAUGGACAACCAAGCUUACUACGUCCUCGGUCACAAGACCCCAAACAUUCGUGAUCUCUACACUCUCAGCCGCAAGCUAGGACAAGGCCAGUUCGGCACAACCUACCUCUGCACAGAACUCGCCACUGGCGUCGACUACGCUUGCAAGUCAAUCUCCAAGAGGAAACUCAUCUCCAAAGAAGACGUUGAAGACGUUAGACGAGAGAUUCAGAUCAUGCACCACUUAGCUGGUCACGGCAACAUCGUGACGAUCAAAGGAGCGUAUGAGGACUCUUUGUACGUCCACAUUGUGAUGGAGCUUUGCGCUGGAGGGGAGUUGUUUGAUAGGAUUAUUCAGAGAGGGCAUUACAGCGAGAGGAAAGCUGCUGAGCUGACUAAGAUCAUUGUGGGAGUUGUGGAAGCGUGUCAUUCUCUUGGUGUGAUGCAUAGAGACUUGAAGCCUGAGAAUUUCUUGUUGGUUAAUAAGGAUGAUGAUUUCUCUCUCAAGGCUAUUGACUUUGGUCUUUCUGUUUUUUUCAAACCAGGUAAAAACUGUCUGAAAAGCUUUAGUUAAUGUUUUCCUUAAUAGUGUUCUAAAAAUCGGUCUAGGCGGCUACUAAGUGGUAAAUAGAGUCUAGACGUUCAAAAGAUCAGUUUAGAAGUCCAUCUAAUCAAUAAUCUCCUAUAAAGCGCCUAAUUACCGCCUAAGAAUUUCUUGAAUGAUUUUUAGAAAAAAUCUGUCUAGGAGAAGCCCGUCUAAUUAGUAAUCUCCUAUAAAACUGCCUAAUUACCGCCUAUGGAUUUCUUGAAUGAUUUUUUUUUAAGAAAAAAAAUCUGUCUAGGCUAUCAAAAGAUUGGUUUAGACGCCCGCCUAAUCAAUAAUCUCCUAUAAAAUGCCUAAUUACCACCUACGGAUUUUCUUGAAUAUUGAUUUGGUUGGUUUUAAUAUUCCUGUGAGUUUCAGGUCAAAUAUUCACUGAUGUUGUUGGGAGUCCAUAUUAUGUUGCUCCUGAGGUUUUGCUCAAACGUUAUGGACCUGAGGCUGAUGUAUGGACCGCUGGUGUUAUACUGUAUAUAUUGCUAAGCGGAGUCCCACCGUUUUGGGCAGGUAAGUGUGAUUGGUGUUUGGUCAUAUAAGCUCUUUAGAAAGUCUGAGUCACCUGAGAUGUGUUUUGUUUUGUCUUAUUUUUGUUGGGGAAUCAGAAACACAGCAAGGGAUAUUUGAUGCUGUGUUGAAGGGAUACAUUGACUUUGAUUCAGACCCUUGGCCUGUGAUAUCAGACAGUGCUAAAGACUUGAUCCGCAGAAUGUUAUCCUCUAAGCCUGCAGAGCGCUUGACAGCUCAUGAAGUCUUGCGUAUGUCUCCACAUUAAAGUAAUGGUUACAUUUUAGCAACAAGCACUAGGCUUACAUCUACUUGUUUGCAGGUCAUCCUUGGAUCUGUGAGAACGGUGUUGCACCAGAUAGACCACUUGAUCCGGCUGUUCUGUCUCGGCUCAAGCAGUUUUCUGCAAUGAAUAAACUAAAGAAGAUGGCUUUGAAGGUGAUAGCUGAGAGUCUCUCUGAGGAAGAGAUUGCUGGUUUAAGAGAAAUGUUCCAAGCAAUGGAUACUGAUAACAGUGGUGCAAUCACCUUUGAUGAACUCAAAGCUGGUCUGAGGAAAUAUGGAUCUACUUUGAAAGACACAGAGAUCCAUGAUCUUAUGGAAGCGGUGCAAAAAACUUAAAAUCUUAUUUGAAUGUAGUGUUGUUUGUCUGUUCUAACAUGGAGCUUCUUGUGUUUGACAGGCUGAUGUGGACAACAGUGGGACGAUUGAUUACAGCGAGUUCAUUGCAGCGACGAUCCAUCUCAACAAGCUGGAGAGGGAAGAGCAUCUUGUGGCUGCGUUUCAGUACUUUGACAAAGACGGAAGUGGUUACAUAACGAUAGACGAGCUGCAGCAAGCGUGUGUUGAGCAUAGUAUGACUGAUGUUUUCCUUGAAGACAUCAUCAAAGAAGUUGAUAAAAACAAUGUAAGCUUAUUAUAACGACUUUGUUCUUCAAGAUUCUUCUCUAAAGACUUGUGUCUAGGCCUAGAUGAUAAAAAGUUUUUUGUAUGUUACAGGAUGGACAAAUUGAUUAUGGUGAGUUUGUGGAGAUGAUGCAAAAGGGAAACGCUGGUGUUGGAAGAAGGACGAUGAGAAACAGUCUGAACAUUAGCAUGAGAGACGCUUAGAGGUCGUUAAUUUUCCCCUGGUGGUUUGUGACUUCAAAAAUGUUUAUGUUCAUGGGAUCAACAAUCUCUAGUGAGCUUUGUUUAUCUUCUUUCUUUGUAAAACGAAAAAUUGUCAUCAAUGUUGUGUGUUUUCUAAGGAUUUUUUACUUUGAAAAUCUCUUUCUACUUUCUAGAGGAUCAUGACCUUUCGUCCACAACUUGAAUUAAAUAAAAUCAAUACAAUACUAAAAGGGAAUAUAAGCUAUGGAGAGGGUGUCCACGUCCUCACCAAAAAUCGACCCAUAUGAGGUCAGAUUUUCGCCACGUCAGCAAAAUACUCUCUCCAAACCGUGACACCUGUCCGGUCUAUUACUAAAUUCUGCGUUUUGUUAAAUCAAACUCGGUUUCUGAUAGGUCUUUUUUUUAAUCAAGCUUUUCGUCUUUCUUCGUUGAAGUCUCACGGACUCCUCCAUCUCGAGUGCUGCUUCUCACGCCGUCUAGGACCUGUCUCGAUGCCGCUGCGUCUCUGCUCCCCUCUGGGCCUCCAACGGCUCCGUGCUGCAUCUACUCCUUUGUGAGGGGCUAUGUAUCUUCUCCUUUGACUCAUUAUACUAUGCGACUCCAUAUUUAUUUUCCUUCUCUAUCUGUCGCCGGCAAUGGUGGUUGAGCCUCUUGGAUCUGCUCUGCUCUGAGGUAUUUGCAGAUUUUCCGUCUCUUCGUUUCAUGAUUGAGAUUUUGAUUUUGAUUAUAAUUUUAAUUUACUUCUCUCUUGCCUUUUCGUGUUUGUUCAGAUUGAAUCUGAUUAUAUUUGAUUAUCAAUCUGUUAUAUUCGUGUGUGUUUGGGAAUCUGUUAGGUUAUGAUUUGAUUUAUCUGAUAUUCUUAUUUGAGAGUUUGAAGAUAGGCAUGUUGUUCGAUUGUUGAUAAAUGACAUAACAGUAAAUCAGGUUUCAUAUUCAAGUUGAACCUAAGUUGAUAGGCAUGUAGCCAUCACAAACAUCAUGAAGAAACCAGAUAUGCAAUAGGAUUUGAAAAUGAGAGCAGGAAUAGGCUAACAGUGGACUUAACUUGCUACUUACACUCCUCAAGGAAAAAAAAACGUGUCAUUGCAAGUUGCAACCAUCAAAAUUGAUAAGUUGCAUAACUUCAUCACUGUGAAUAGAUGUUGAGCAUUUAGUGUUCUGUUUUCUCUUGACAGUGACGUGUCUGUGACGUUGAGUCUGUUUGACUGGCAAGCUAUAUCUUUUCACAGCAAGCUAGAAAGUCUUCGGUGAUCCUAAGGUUGUUAACAAGUAUCAACUCCAAGAUUGUAGGAGGUAUUUUUGUUUAAAUGGGAUGACUAUAAUAGUUCUUGGCCCUAACGAAAUCAAUAUUUUGCAAGGCAUCUGUUCUUGAACGCCACAUCAGGGACCCAUAUAACUUUCGACAAAGAGAUUAAUUUGAUCUCAGUUUGUUAGUUUACUUAUUCAUCACAUAAUUAGUGAAUUCCUGCACAACACUGUAUGUUGUUUUCCGUUGACAUUGGCAUUACUCCAGCAUCUUCAUUACUGAGGGGCUACACUAAGCUUGAGCCUCUAACCAUAGCUGAAAUGAGUUCAUCAUCACUGCCCAGCCACAGGUUAUAUAGCAAGCUUUAUUUGUUAUAAUUCUUCCAUGACUGUACUCUGUACGUGAUCCCAAACUUUGUAAAUGCAGGAUAUCGCCUUCAUAUGCACCGGUAGGGGCACUGGGAUCAAGAUGGACAAAGGCUGGUGUUACGUCUCUUUCUCCAUGUGUACAAAGAAGCUUUAGCGGACUGUAUCAUCCUUCACUUGUGUCUUGUGUGGCCUGCAACAACACUAAUGUUGUUGGUGUGCUAAGGUAUAUUGGAUCCUUUACCUUUUAUUAGAUUUGGAAUUAAGAAACACACACAGAGGCAACAAUAUAUUUUAUAAACACUUAAUUGUCUGCAACGUAUUGUGUGUAGAUGAGUAUUGCUGAUGAGACUGCUGAGGGCCUGUUUGUUGGCAUCGAUGGGGUAAUACUAAAUUGCAUCUCAUACGUGCAUAUGAACCUGGUCAUCUACUGGUACGUAGCUAUCGCAUUAUGUAGCAUCAUCCUACAGUUUCCUCUGGAUCUUUCGUCAGCUCUCACAUUUAAAACAUGUAACUAAUAGGCUGGAGAGGGAGUUAACUCAGAAGAAGAAGAGGCUCGGUGGAGAGCCGAGCGUGAAGCUGCAGAGAGAGAAGUUGCUAGAGUGAGAAUGAGACAAGAGUAAGCACUUGCUCUUGGACUGUUUAUUUCCCAUGAUAAUGUAGAUUUUUGUAAGGUUCCUGAAUGGAUAAAGAAAAGGGAGAAGGUUUGAAAGCAAUACCAAGAUACAAACAUUGUAUGACUACGUUGAUUCACUUGGAUGCUAGAAACAGAAGAGUAUAGCUUAAUCACAAACUUUCCAAGAAGUAUGGAAGAGACAAAGAGUCAAUGUCACUCAAAGAUGCAAGUUUGCAUCCUCAGGCAAGUCUUUUCAGUGAGAUAAACUAAGUUUCAGAUUCUUCUUUUUCUUUCUCCUUAAGUCACUCUUUUUCCAGUUUUUUUCAUCUCUUUUAAAAUAAUUAGUAGUGUUGCUUCAGUGAUCCGAUGAACAAGAUAACAUAUAUACAUAUAUUCAGAAGUUGUGUCACAUAUUUGAAAUAUUUAGUUCUUAAAAUGAUGAGCUUUCGCAUUGUAUUUUUUUUUUGGUGUUAUAUUGAAGACAUGAAGAUCAGUCUUCGUUUCUAGCUGCAACAAAUAAUUUUUUACCUGGAAAAGUUUUGCAGAUAAAAAAUGUUGUAUAUUGUGAAUUGGAAGAGAAGAUGUAUGAAAAAGUACAAUCGACUAACAUUUUUUAAAAAGAUUAAGAAUAAAAAUGUUGAUGACAAAAUAAAAUAAUUAUAUAUUGGUGUUAAGCUAACUAAAUGAUUUCUAACAAUGAUAAUAUAUUAAAUAGUAAUAAUUAUAAGAGAAAAUAGUGAGAAUAAUACGAAAUGAUUUCUUGGAUAAUUCAUCAUAACUUAAUUACAUCAUUAAUCAUAAUAAAAUAAGUACUAUUAUAAGUUCGAACAUUUUUUUUGAUGCCAUCUCAACAAACGAGAAAAGAAAACAUGAUACAUCAGUGUAAAAUUUAAAAAUUUAUAAUAAAAUUCUCAUUUUUAACAUUGAAAUUUUGAAUAUAUUAACAAUAAAUCAAAUUCCCUAUAAAUAAUAUUUAUAGCUAACAAUACAUCAUAUAGUUAUGGUUGUUUGUUAUUUUUUUGGUUUAGCCUAAACUUUGGUAGUAAAACAAAUUGUGGAAUUCAUUAUUUUUAAUUUUUUGUUGAUGUGAGUUUGAAAAAAACACAAAAAGAAAAACAGGAAUAUAUUUCUCAAAUAUAAUAAUACAUAAAUAUAUAACCUAACAUAUAUUUGUAAAUAUUAAAAAAUAACAAUUGAUAUCAAAUUUUUAUGCUACUUGACUAUUUUCCAAAAAAAAAAAGAUAAAAAAUGGCUUUUCCUUUUCGAUUUUUUAAAUUAUAUAAUUUGAGAAGAAAUGUAUUUAAAAUCCAAUAAAUUCAAGAUAAGCAAAUAUUGUGAACAAAGUAAAAUAUUUAUAUUUUAGUGAAUUGUUUAAAUAUAGUAUAACAAAUGCAUAAUUUCAAAAACAAAAGAAAUAGUAAAAUUUGUAGUAAUAAAUAUUGAAAAUUAUAAUAAAAUAAACUGAAAUUUUCAUUAAAAUUUAAAAUGUGUUUGUAUUGUUUCAUUCAUUUGCUUACCCACCCAAUAAAACACUACUAUUAACGUGUUGGGUGAAGCAGAGCUAUUGGAGGAAGCCGAAGGAGCUCUCUUUUUUUUUCUACUUGCUGGAAAAAGGGUAACAUUGAGAUGGCUGAAAGAGUAGUAAAGUGUUUGCUGAAGCUGGAUCCAGAUGUGCACAUAUCUAAUGCUUUCUCUUUAUGUGUUUUUCGAAGAGACAGUUAAUCAGAGGGUUUUCAUGAAGGAAACACGAGUGAAGAAGGAAGUACGUGCAGUUCGAUGGAGGUAGAUUACAAAGUUCACGAGUUUGUUAUUCUUUUUGCCGGAAAAGACACAAUAGAUUCUCAGAACAUCAACAACAAAUUCAGUGUCAAGUAUUAUCUGAAUCUUUUCCUGGUGGACAAAGAGGAUCGUUGUUACAUCAAGCAGCAAGAAAUGACGUUGUACAAGCUCAAGGAGGAGACAUUUUGAUGUUUACGGAAAGAAAAGAACAAAUAAGAAUUUUUCAGAACUUUGUAAAGCGUUUUUCUUAAGAUUUAUUUUUCCUGUAUGAAAUUGGUUGGAGACUAGGAGUCAUGAAAGUUAAACAGUGUAAGUUUGUUCAAUAAUUAGAAUUAUAGAAUUUUGCUUAAGUUAUCAACAAUUACUUUUGUUUUGUAUGUUUUUUACUAUUGCAAGUACAAGCUACAUAUGAUGAUUAAUUUCGGUUAUUUUAUCCAACUUAAUACUUAUGGUUCACUCUCUACGUACAAAAACGCUGACUUUUUAUUCCAAGGUAAAAUAGAUAAUAAUAUGAUACUUUGAUAUGAUGAACCAUAGAGAUUAUAUGAGUAAUAUUGAGGUUUUUACAUAGCAACGCUGUGAACCCCCUCUUAUCAGCUCCAAGACAAAAAUAUUAUAACCAUAAUUUCCAUUAGUGAGCGAAGGCAAUCAUUGAAUAUCAACUAAAAUUAAUAAAUUGUCAAUCUUUUUUAAGAAAUUCAACUACAUUAUUUGGAUUUUCUUAGGAAAACAUAUAGAUAGCUAUUAGAGAAUAUUAUUAUAUUUUUAAUAUGUUGUUUUGCUGCAUGAAAACAAAAGUAUUUGACAUAAAUUCAGAAUUUUUUUAAAUGUACAUCACUUUUAGAUUUCAAUUGUUCGUCAUUUCACCACUGCCUUAAGAACGAAUUCAUAUACAUUUUCUUAUCACCAAAUAAUAAAUUUUAAAAUACACAUUGGUUAAUUUUAACGUUCAAAUAAUAGACAGUCAAUAUUUAAAAUGUUAAAAUAUACAUUGGUAAUUUUAACGUAAAAAAAAUGUUUGAAUUAUAUGUUAAUAUAACCAUAUAUUUAUAAAAUUCAAAUAAAUGAGAUAAAAGAAUAAUUGAAUUUCAACUAAAGUUUAAUUUAUUUUCUUAUUCAGUUUGUUUACCAAGUUAUAUGUAUUUUGACAAUGAAAGAAUUUUUAAAAAAUUUAGUCACCAAAACCAAUACAAAAUAUCAAAAUUUUCUAAUAAUUUAUAUAGCAUUUUCAGUCUAUGUGUAAAAUAUGUAGUCAAAUACAAAUUUUAUUAUAAACUAAUUAAAUUAAAAUAAAUAAAAAAAUCCGGGCGUAGCCCGGAAAAAUCUCUAGUAUAUAUAAUAAGGUUUGUAAAUACCAAUGGCGUUUGACGAGCUAGCAAGUCUCAAUCAUGUAAUCAAAGUUGCUUUUUCUAAGUAUGUGUCCUUUUAAAAAUCUCAAAUAAAACCCAAAACUCAAGGCUGUUCACAACAAAUCAUACAUUGGCAACGAUCUGUAAUUUGGAACAUUAUUUACCAAAACCAUUUUAUAUGUUGUACGAACAUAUUCACAUGCUUUGUAACGCCGCAACCUUUAACAUAAUUUAUUUGAUCAAUUUAAUAUUUGGUAAUCAGCACAUUCUUACCUAAACCAAAGUUUAAACCGUUCAUUGUUACUCGAAGUCAAAUUUUAGCAAACAUCGUAUAACCAUAAUCGAUAAAUAGUUUAAAACAUAAAACAAUAAAUAGCAAUACGCCACCGACGAUAUUGCAUCCACCGACAAAUGUUAUGUCGGCUACAGGCCACACACACAUGACAAAUCUCAGUUAUACCAUGCAAUCGAAGUGUCAUUAAUACUUGUGUCGGUCGUAGAUCGUCAGGGUUUGAUAUGUUGUUAGAGUUUUGCUUGUAAAUUAUUAAAACUAUUUUCAUUAAUGGUGGUAAAAAAAUUGGCGCCGUAUAAAUAACUGAAACAGAAUAACAUGUUCCUACAUAAUUUCAUGGUUACAAAAUACAACUGCACAAGAUGUAAAGAAAUCAAAAUAAAUCAUUAUUAACUAUAGCAACAAAAUACAAACAUCGAACUUUCCAAAAACACAUCCCCUUAUGGUUGACUAUAAUCCAAUUGAUUGAUACGAAGAUCAUAUUUUAUAAGAGCCAAAUUACAAAAGCUUAACCGUUUAUUGACACUAUAGAGAGAGGAAUGAUAUCAGAAGAAGAGAGUCCAUGAGAGAUUGCGGAUCUGAGAUGGGGGUGACGUGCAUUAUACUACUUCCUCAGUUAUGUGAGCAGCCGAUUGAUCUAGCUUCUUGGAAAGGAUCCAUGAACGACUCCAUUCCCACCAGCUUCUUGCUUGUUCUCCUAUAGCAGAAACAGAUUGGAAUCCAGCUGAUGCUAUCUCCGUUGGUUUGUUUGAGAGAUUGAGUGAGAGUGAAGAAAGGCUACGUCGGAUGAUACCUGCAGGCUUAUCAUCAUCGGUGGUGGUGGAGGAAGUAGGACGCUGAGAAACGGGGAGAGAAACUUGUUUGCGAAUCUGGAGAGUUUCCAUCAUCGAGCUCAUUGCUUUUUUUUUUAGAGAGAGAGAGAGAGAUGAAGAAGAAGAAAUGAAAUGUUUUGGAGUAAUAGAGAGAAAGUAGUGAUCAUAGCUCUAACACAGGCUGUGUUUUUAUUACACUUUUCUCUCUCUCUGUCUGUGUGGGGUCCAUUAACUUUUAUGCCCAGCCAAUUACACCUAUAAUGUUUGUUUGAAGAGACCCAUUGGACUAGGGCCCAAUAAUUUUAAGGCCCAAUAAUAAAGUAUUACGCGCUUUUUUGUAUAUUUCUCUUAUUAUUAUUACAUUUAAUUUAGCUUCGAGUGUGGUCGGAUCAGAGAGAUCUGAGAGAGCUUCUCACGAUGGAGUACCGUAAAAUCAAAGACGAGGAUGAUGAUCAUGACGUGGCUUCUGAUCUCGAGAGUUUAAAGGGAAAACCUCACACCGGUUAGUUUUUUUCUUUCUCCUUCGUAUCUCAAAAUCUCUGCUUCUUUGCUCAUUGGUUGCUUCAAUUUGGUUAGUUGCUUCGAGUAACAUUGCUCUGGUUGGUGCUGGAUCGAACGAAAGAACCAACUGGAAACGAAAGUAAGUUCCUUUAUUCGAUUUUCUUGUCGGAAAGAUACUAUCUUUUUGGGGUUGUAUUAAGUUAAAUUGUGUUUGAGGGGGGGCAGGGGUGUAGUAACAUGUGCACUGACCAUCCUCACGAGCUCCCAAGCCAUACUCAUAGUUUGGUCUAAACGAGCUGGCAAGUAUGAGUACAGUGUUACCACCGCCAACUUCUUGGUUAGUUAAUUUAAUUAAGCAAUGUGUUGUAUGGUACAAGCGAGCUACUUUAGUGAAUUGUUUAAUCUUUGGACGUCAGGUUGAGACUCUAAAGUGUGCGUUGUCUCUUCUUGCGUUGACAAGAAUAUGGAAGAACGAAGGUGUUACUGACGAUAAUAGGUUAAGCACAACGUAUGACGAAGUUAAAGUCUUUCCCAUNNNNNNNNNNNNNNNNNNNNNNNNNNNNNNNNNNNNNNNNNNNNNNNNNNNNNNNNNNNNNNNNNNNUUCCUGCUGCUUUGUAUCUUUUCAAGAAUCUCUUACAGGUUUUGCUUUUUUCUUGGGUUUUUUUUGGCUUUGGUCAAUGUUUGUGGCAUCUUCUUUCCGUGUUAAUCAGUUUUCUGACUACUUGUGGUGUGACUUUUUAUGUGGAAGUACUAUAUUUUUGCAUACGUUGACGCGCCAGGCUAUCAGAUAUUGAAGAACCUGAACAUCAUAAGUACUGGUGUCUUGUACAGGAUUAUACUCAAGAAAAAGUAUGUUGUUUAUUCCUCCAAAUGGAUUUCAUAGCUUGUUCUGUUUAUUCACUUUGCUUUACUUUCUUCUCUAAUAAGGUUGAGCGAGAUUCAGUGGGCGGGCUUCAUCCUAUUGUGUUGUGGAUGCACCACUGCUCAGUUGAAUUCAAAGUAAAUUUGGCUCUCUCGACAUUUUCCCCCUUUGAUUUUAUUUACUGCUAUCAGCGUGUGGUUAGUCUCUACUGAUUUUUUUUUUCACUACAUAGUCUCAUAUUUGAAUGUUAACUUUUGCAGUUCUGAUCGUGUACUUCAGACAUCUCUUCCCGGCUGGAUUAUGGCAAUUGUAAGUUGUUACCCACCACCUUAACUUGCUACUAAGAGAGUAGUGAAGCUACUACUUCCACGUCCACGCUAAUUCAUAUGAUUAUUUGCCGUUGUUUCUAGGUUAUGGCUCUUUUAAGUGGUUUCGCUGGAGUGUACACAGAGGUGAGCUUAUUAUGACUUUUAUACCCAAAGCUAGCUCUGAUUAUACUUCCUUUUAUUUGUGUAGCAUUGAUUUAAUUUGUUGUUUAAAACAGUAGAAUAUGACCAGUCCAUUUUUAUGUCUUGGAUUUUUAAAAAGUUUUGCUUUCCAUUUUUUUGGCAGGCUAUAAUAAAAAAGAGGCCAUCAAGGAAUAUAAAUGUACAGAACUUCUGGCUAUACGUCUUUGGGAUGGCUUUCAAUGCUGUUGCUAUUGUCAUCCAAGAUUUCGAUGCCGUGGCUAAUAAGUAAAUUCCUAAACUCAUCUCCUUAUUUUUGUCCACAGUCAGUAACCAUUUUCCUCACAAAAAUGCUACUUAUUUAUAGCUGGCUGAACUAUUAUGCUGUUAUCUCGCAUCUGCUCUGGUAUUAAAGGGGUUGGUUUUUUUUUAAUUUUCAGAGGAUUCUUCCAUGGUUACUCAUUUAUCACAGUACUCAUGAUUCUCAACCAUGCUCUCAGGUAAAAAAAUCUGCUUUUGAGGCCAGAUUCUUCUCUUUAACUCUAAUCUCAGUUUACAUGUAGUUUAACACAUUAAAAACAUUAUUCUCCUGUUUGUUUUGCAGUGGUAUUGCUGUGUCAAUGGUGAUGAAAUAUGCAGACAAUAUUGUAAAGGUAAUAAUAAACUUGCACGCCGGCAUAAGUAGUAGUCACUUUUGAAACACGGGGUUUAACCUCUAGCGAUAUGUAUGUAGGUUUAUUCGACGUCAGUGGCAAUGCUUCUCACCGCGGUUGUCUCUGUAUUCCUAUUCAAUUUUCAUCUUUCACUAGCUUUCUUCCUUGGUUCAACGUAAGUUAUAACCGCAUCUUGCCUCUGCCAAUACAAAAUCCAUUCUCAACCUUUUCACAGAAGAGCUGAUGUUUACUGUGUUUGCACUUUGGCAGGGUCGUCUCUGUUUCAGUAUAUUUGCAUUCAGCUGGGAAGCUACGAUGAUAGGCAAAGAAGGAUCUCUAAUACUUGAGCUGCCAAAAGAAAAGUCUUGCCAUUAUUCUAGCACAGAGAGAUGAAGCUUUUUUUUGACAAUUGUGAUAUUGUAUUUCGUGUAGCCUAUAGGGUAAAUUCACAUUCAAUAUUUGAAAAAGAGCAUAAUGUAGCACUCUUGUGCAAAUCAGGCAUUACCUAAAAGACACUGGUGGAGAUUUAAAAAAAAAUUAUUAAAAAAGUAUUAUUGUUAUUAAACAUUGUAUGAGGAGUAAAUGCUUUCCAAGGUAUCACAAAUUUAAACUUUGCUUCGACACAUGCCUCUAUUAUUGUACUAUAGACCUAUUCAAUAGUGCUGAUUUACUAAGCACGGUAGAGUUUUAUUUAUCUAUUUCACUUCGUUAUGUGGCAUUGUACAACGUUGUACUAUGUUGAGAUUUGGGUGUCUUUGGCUAUUUAACGAUCGCAAUGACAUGAUAUGAUGUUAUUUACUGAGUUUAAGUCUACAACAAGUUAUUUUUUUAAGUCACGAUCUCAAAUCUACAAUAAUUCUUUUUUAAAAUGAAAACUUUCUAAAAAUAGUAGGUUAUUAUUAAAAAAAUGCAACCUAUUAAUGAAAAAUUCUGAAGGAAUACUCGUCUAUCAACAAAAAUUCUUGUUAUCCUUAUUCCUAAGUCACAAUCUCAAAUCUACAAUAGUUCUCUGUAGAAAUAAAAACGUCCCAAAAAUAGCAUCUUUCAUAAAAAUUAUUGAAAAAAUGCAACUUAUUGAUGAAAAAUUCUGAAAGAAUACUCAUCUAUCAACAAAAUUUGUUGUUAUCCUUAUUCAUAAGUCACAAUCCCAAACCUACCAAAGUUCUCUAUAAAAUAAAAAGUUUCUAAAAAUAGGAGGUUUUUCAUAAAUUAUUUAAAAAAUGCAACCUAUCGAAGAAAAAUUAUGAAAAAAUACUCAUCAAUUAACAAAAUAUCUUAUUAUACUAAUUUCUAAGUCACAAUCCAAAAUCUACAAUAGUUCUCUAUAAAAAUUAAAACUAUCCAAAAAUAUCAGGUUCUUACAAAAGUAUUUUAAAAAUGCAACCUAUUGAUGAAAAAAUCUGAAAGAAUACUCAUCUAUAAACAAAAAUUCUUGUUAUCCUUAUUUGUAAGUCACAAUCUCAAAUCAACAAUAGUUCUCUAUAAAAAAAACUUUUCAAAAAUAGCAGGUUCUUUAAAAAUUAUUUAAAAAAAUCAACUUAUUGAUGAAAUUUUUUGAAAAAGUACUCAUCUAUCAACAAAAAUUCUAGUUAUCCUAAUAUCUAAGUCAAAAUCCAAAAUAUACAAUAGUUCUCUAUAGAAAUAAAAACUUCCCAAAAAUAGCAGCUUUCGUAAAAAUUAUUAAAAAAAUGCAACCUAUUGAUGAAAAAUUCUGAAAGAAUACACAGCUAUCAACAAAAGUUCUUGUUAUCCUUAUUCCUAAGUCACAAGCCCAAAUCUACAAUAGUUCUCUAUAAAAUGAAAACUUUCCAAAAAUAAGAGGUUUUUCAAAAAUUAUUUAACAAAUGCAAACUAUCGAUAAAAAAUUAUGAAAGAAUAUUCAUCUAUUAACAAAAAUUCUUAUUAUACUAAUUUCUAAGUCACAAUCCAAAAUCUACUAUAAUUCUCAAUAAAAUUAAAUCUAUCCAAAAAUUGCAGGUUUUUAAAAAAAUAUUUUAAAAAAUGCAGCCUAUUGAUGAAAAAUUCGGAAAGUGUACUCAUCUAUCAACAAAAAUUCUAGUUUUCCUAAUUUCUAAGUCAAAAUCUAAAAUAUACAAUAGUUAUCUAUAGAAAUAAAAAAUUCUCAAAAAUAGCAGAUUUCGUAAAAAUAUUUUAAAAAUGCAACCUAUUGAUGAAAAAUUCUGAAAGAAUACUCAUCUAUAAAAAAAAAUUCUUGUUAUCCUUAUUUCUAAGUCACAAUCUCAAAUCUACAAUAGUUCUCUAUAACAAAAACAUUCCAAAACUAGCAGAAUCUAUAAAAAUUAUUUUUAAAAUGCAACUUAUUGAUGAAAAAUUCUAAAAGAGUACUCAUCAAUCAACAAAAAUUCUAGUUAUCAUAAUUUUUAAGUCACAAUCCAAAAUAUACAAUAGUUCUCUAUAGAAAUAAAAACAUCCCAAAAAUAUCAGCUUUAUAAAACAAAUAUUAAAAAAAUGCAACCUAUUGAUGAAAAAUUCUAAAAGAAUACUCAUCAAUCAACAAAAAUUCUAGUUAUCAUAAUUUCUAAGUCACAAUCCAAAAUAUACAACAGUUCUCUAUAGAAAUAAAAACAUCCCAAAAAUAGCAGUUUUCGAAAAAAUUAUUAAAAAAAUGCAACCUAUUGAUGAAAAAUUCUGAAAUAAUACUCAUCUAUUAACAAAAAUUCUUAUUAUACUAAUUUCUAAGUCACAACCCAAAAUCUACAAUAAUUCUCAAUAAAACGAAAUCUAUCCAAAAAUUGCAGGUUAUUUAAAAAAUAUUUUAAAAAUGCAAUCUAUUGAUGAAAAAUUCUGAAAGUGUACUCAUCUACAAAAAUUCUAGUUUUCCUACUUUCCAAGUCAAAAUCUAAAAUAUACAAUAGUUCUCUCUAGAAAUAAAAACUUCUCAAAUAUAGCUGUUUUCGUAAAAAUUAUUGAAAAAAUGCAACCUAUUGAUGAAAAAAUCUGAAAGAAUACUCGUCAAUCAUAAAAAAAAUCUUGUUAUCCAUAUUCCUAAAUCAUAAUCCCAAAUCUACAAUAGCUUUCUACAGAAAUAAAAAUUUCUCAAAAAUAGCAGCUUUCUUAAAAAUUAUUGAAAAUGUAACAUAUUGAUGAAAAAAUCUGAAAGAAUACUCAUCUAUCAACAAAAAUUCUUGUUAUCCUUAUUACUAAGUCAUAAUCCCAAAUCUACAAUAGUUUUCUAUAAAAUGAUAACAUUCCAAAAAUAUGAGGUUUUUCAAAAAUUAUUUAAAAAAUGCAACAUAUCGAUGAAAAAUUGUGAAAGAAUACUCAUCUAUUAACAAAAAUUCUUCUUAUCCUAAUUUCUAUGUCACAAUCCAAAAUCUACAAUAGUUCUCUAUAAAUAUGAAAACUAUCCAAAAAUAGCAGGUUUUUUUCAAAAUUAUUUAAAAAAUACAUCAUAUUGAUAAAAAAUUCUGAAAGAGUACUCAUCUAUCAAAAAAAUUCUAGUUAUCCUAAUUCCUAAGUCACAAUCCAAAAUAUACAAUAGUUCUCUAUAGAAAUAAAAACUUUCCAAAAAUAGCAUCUUUCGUAAAAAUUAUUGAAAAAUGCAACUAUUGAUGAAAUUUUUUGAAAGAAUACUCAUCUUUCAACAAAAACUCUUGUUAUCUAUUCCUAAGUCACAAUCUCAAAUCUACAAUAGUUCUCUAGAAAAAAAUGUUUUUCCAAAAAUAAGAGGUUUUCAAUAAUUAUUUAAAAAAUGCAAGCUAUCGAUGAAAAAAUAUGAAAGAAUACUCAUCUAUUAACAAAAAUUCUUGUUAUACUAAUUUUUAAGUCACAAUUCUAAAUCUACAAUAGUUUUCUAUAAAAAUAAAACUAUCCAAAAAUAUCAGGUUCUUAAAAUAUUAUUUUAAAAAUGCAACCUAUCGAUAAAAGUUUUUGAAAGAAUACUCAUCUAUUAAAAAAAAUAUUUUUUAUACUAAUUUGUAAGUAACAAUCCUAAAUCUUCAAUAGCUCUCUAUAAAAAUGAAAUAUAUCUGAAAAUAACAGGUUUUUAAAAAAUUAUUUUGAAAAUGCAACCUAUUGAUGAAAAUUAAUGAAAAAAUAUUCAUCUAUUAAUAAAAAUUCUUGUUAUACUAAAUUCUAAGACAUAAACCAAAAUCUAUAAUAAUUCUCUAUAAAAAUGAAAACUAUAAAAAAACUGUAGGUUUUUAAAGAAAUAUUUUAAAAUUCAACCUAUAGGUGAAAAAUUCUAUCAACAAAAUUUUUUGUAAUCCUUAUUCCUAAGCCACAAUCUCAAAUCUACAAUAGUUUUCUAUAGAAAUAAAAUUUCCCAAAAAUAACAGCCUUCGUAAAAAUUAUUGAAAAAAUGCAACCUAUAGAUGAAAAAUUCUGAAAGAAUACUCAUCUAUCAACAGAAAUUCUUGUUAUCCUUAUUCCUAAGCCACAAUCCGAAAUCUACAAUAGUUCUAUAAAAAAUGGAAAGUUUCCAAAAAUAGGAGGUUUUUCAAAAAUUAUUUUAAAAAUGCAACAUAUCGAUGAAAAAAUAUGAAAGAAUACUCAUCUAUUAACAAAUAUUCUUGUUAUACUAAUUUCUUUAUCACAAUCCAAAAUCUAAAAUAGUUCUCUAUAAAAAUGAAAACUAUCCAAAAAUAGCAUGUUUUUUCAAAAUUAGUUUAAAAAUGCAACCUAUUGAUGAAAAAUUCUGAAAGAAUACUCAUCUAAUAACAAAAAUUCUUGAUAUACUAAUUUCUAAGUCACAAUCCAAAAUCUACACUAGUUCUCUUUAAAAAUGAAACCUAUCCAAAAAUACUAGGUUUUAAAAAAAAUAUUUUAAAAAUGCAACUUAUUGAUGAAAAUUUUCGGAAGAGUACUCAUCUAUCAACAAAAAUUCUAGUUAACCUAAUUCCUAAGUCACAAUCCAAAACAUAUAAUAGUUAUCUAUAGAAAUAAAAACUUCCUAAAAAUAGCAGCUUUCAUAAAAAUUAUUUAAAAAAUGCAACCUAUUGAUGAAAAAUUCUUAAAUAAUACUCAUCUAUAAACAAAAAUUCUUGUUAUCUUUAUUUCUAAGUCACAAUCCCAAAUUUACAAUAGUUCUCUGUAAAAUCAAAACUUUCCAAAAAUAGGAGGCUUUUCAAAAUUUAUUUAAAAAAUGCAACCUAUCGAUGAAAAAUUAUGAAAGAAUACUCUUCUAUUACAAAAAUUCUUGUUAUAGUAAUUUCUAAGUCACAAUCCAAAACCUACAAUAUUUCUCUAUAAAAAUGAAAAUUAUCCAAAAAUAACAGAUUUUUUCAAAAUUAUUUUAUAAAUGCAACCUUUUGUUGAAAAAAUCUGAAAGAAUAUUAAUCUAAUAACAAAAACUCUUGAUAUACUAAUUUCUAAGUCACAAUCCAAAAUCUACAAUAGGUCUCUUUAAAAAUGAAAACUAUCUAAAAAUAGUAGGUUUUAAAAAAAUUAUUUUAAAAAUGCAACCUAUUGAUUAAAAAUUCUGAAAGAAUACUCAUCUAUAAACAAAAAUUCUUAUUAUCUUUAUUUCCAAGUCACAGUCCCAAAUCUACAAUAGUUCUCUAUUAAAAUGAAAAUUUUCCAAAAAUAGUAAGUUCUUACAAAAGCAUUUUAAAAAUACAACAAAUUGAUGAAAUAUUCUGAAAGAAUACUCAUCUAUAAAAAAAAAUCUUGUUAUCCUUGUUGAUAGAUGUGUAUUCUUUUAGAAUUUUUGAUCAAUAGGAUGUAACUUUUAUAUAAUUUUCUAAAAGCUGCUAUUUAAGGAAAGUUUUCAUUUUUAUAGUGAAAUAUUGAAGAUUUAGGAUUUUGAUUUAGAAAUUGGGAUAAGUAGAGUUUUUCUUGUUAGAUGUGUAUUCUUUUAUAAUUUUUGAUCAAUAGGAUGUAAUUUUUAAAUAAUUUUCUAUAAGCUGCUAUUUAAGGAAAUUUUUCAUUUUUAUAGAAAAAUAUUGUAGAUUUGGGAUUGUGAUUUAGAAAUUGGGAUUAAAAAUAGUUUUUGUUGUUAGAUGUGUAUUCUUUUAGAUAUUUUGAUCAAUAGGAUGUAUUUUUUAAAAUAUUUUCUAAAAGCUACUAUUUAAGGAAAAUUUUCAUUUUUAUACAGAAAUAUUGUAGAUUUGGGAUUAUGAUUUAGAAAUUAGGAUAAAAAGAGUUUUUGUUGUUAGAUAUGUAUUCUUUUGUUAGAAAUUUGGGAUUAUAGUUUUUCUUGUUAGAUAUGUAUUGUUUUACAAUUUUUGAUCAAUAGGAUGUAUUUUUUAAAUAAUUUUCUAAAACCUGCUAUUAAAGGAAACUUUUCAUUUUUAUAGACAAUUAUUGAAGAUUUAAGAUUGUGAUUUAGAAAUUUGGAUAAAUAUAGUUUUUCUUGUUAGAUAUGUAUUCUUUUAGAAUUUUUAAUCAAUUUGUUGUAUUUUUUAAAUAUUUUUUUUCAAAAACCUGGUAUUUUAGGAAAGUUAUCAUUUUUUAUAGAGAAAUAUUGUAGAUUUGGGAUUGUGAUUUAGAAAUUAGGAUAAAAAAGUUUUUGUUGAAAGAUGAGUAUUCUUUUAGAAUUUUUGAUCAAUAGGAUAUAUUUUUAAAAUAAUUUUCUAAAAGCUGCUAUUUAAAAAAAAAAUCAUUUUGAUAGAGAGAUAUUGUAGAUUUGGGAUUGUGAUUUAUAAAUUAGGAUAAAUUUUUUUAUUAUUAUUAGAUGUGUAUUCUUUUAGAUUUUUUUGAUCAAUAGGAUAUAUUUUUAAAUAAUUUUCUACAACCUGAUAUUUAAGGAAACUUUUCAUUUUUAUAGAGAAUUAUUGAAGAUUUAGGAUUGUUAUUUAGAAAAUGAGAUAAAAAGAGUUUUUGUUAUUACAUGUGUAUUCUUUUAGAACUUUUGAUUAAUAGGAUGUAUUUUUUAAAUAAUUUUUUUAAAGCUACUAUUUAAGGAAACUUUUCAUUUUUAUAAAGAAAUAUUGUAGAUUUAGAUUGUGAUUUAGAAAAUGAGAUAAAAAGAGUUUUUGUUGUUAGAUUUGUAUUCUUUUAGAACUUUUGAUCGAUAUAAUGUAUUUUUUAAAUAAUUUUCUAAAGGCUACUAUUUAAGAAAAGUUUUCAUUUUAAUAGAGCAACUAGAUUUUGACCCGCGCUUUCAAAGCGCGGGUUUAUUUUUGAUUUUUUUUCAAUUGACAAAUAUUUAGUAAAUGUCACAUUUUCAUAUAUUUGUGUUUUAUUUUAUAAAAGACUUAAAAUUUUUAUCUUUAUUUAUCGUAUUUCAUUUUAAAUGACUAUUUAUGUUAAAAAAAUUAAACUUUAUUUUUUUAAUGAAUUAAGUUGGUAUAACUCUGAUAAAUUAAUUUUAUUAUGGGGUUAAUAUUUUAAUUAAAAAAUUAUAUACUUUUAAAAAAGAUUUAUACUUUUCAAUAAAAAAAUUCAAUUAUUUUUAUGAAUGCUUAAAUUAUAUUAAGAAAAAAAAAUAAUAAUAAUUAAGAAUAGUUGAAAAAAAAUUAUUUGAACUUGGACUCAAUGGUCCAAAGGAAAAAAAAUGUGAGAAUUGAAUCUGAUUUUUUAAUAGGUCCAAAUGGGCCAAAGAGAGAUUUGAUUUGGGCUGGAUCCAAAAAUAAUGACUCAAUAUAGAUUUGUUAUUAAUAUUACUUAAUUGCCCUUAAUGAAACAUGCAAUGUUAGUGAAGGAAACAUGCCCCUAAGGUAAUUAUGACAAUAGGAUCCUGCUUUAAUAGUAUAGAUAUUGUAGAUUUGGACUCGUGAUUUAGAAAUUAGGAUAACAAGAAUUUUUGUUGAAAGAUAAGUAUUCUUUUAAAUUUUUUGAUUAAUAUGUUGUAUAUUUUAAAUUAUUUUUUCCACAAAGCCUGCUAUUUUAGGAAAGUUUUCUUUUUAUACCAAAAUAUACAAUAGUUCUCUAUAGAAAUAAAAACUUUCCAAAAUAGCAGGUUUCCUAAAAAUUAUUGAAAAAAAUACAAUCUAUUAAUGAAAAAUUCUAAAAGAAUACUCAUCUAUCAACAAAAAUUCUUGUUAUCCUUAUUCCCAAUUCACAAUCCCAAAUCUACAAUAGUUCUUUAUAAAAUGAAAACUUUCCAAAAAUAGGUGGCUUUUCAAAAAGUAUUUAAAAAAUGCAAACUAUCGAUGAAAAAUUCUGAAAGAAUACUCAUUUAAUAACAAAAAUUCUUGAUAUACUAAUUUCUAGGUCACAAUCCAAAAUCAACAAUGGUUCUCUUUAAAAUUGAAAACUAUCCAAAAAUAGUAGGUUUUUUAAAAAGUAUUUUAAAAUGCAUAUUAUUGAUGAAAAUUUGUGAAAGAAUACGCAUCUAUAAAAAAAAAUUCUUGUUAUCUUUAUCUCUAAGUCACAAUCUCAAAUCUACAAUAAUUUUCCAUUAAAAUGAAAACUUUCCAAAAGUAGCAAGUUCUUACAAAAUUAUUUUAAAAUUGCAAUAUAUUGAAGGAAAAUUCUGAAAGACUACUCAUCUAUAAAAAAAAAAUUCUUGUUAUCUUUAUUUCUAAGUCACAAUCCUAAAUCUACAAUAGUUCUCUAUUAAAAAAAAACAUUCCAAAAAUAGCAUAUUCUUAAAAAAUUAUUUAAGAAAUGCAACCUAUUGAUGAAAAAUUCUGAAAGAGUACUCAUCU
This 34897-nucleotide long non-coding RNA is filed under the name Brassica napus (rape). RNAcentral describes it as "long non-coding RNA (BNAP_LNC020981)". Lineage: Eukaryota; Viridiplantae; Streptophyta; Magnoliopsida; Brassicales; Brassicaceae. The record is from RNAcentral.